This 448-nucleotide ribosomal RNA is filed under the name uncultured soil bacterium. RNAcentral describes it as "bacterial SSU rRNA". It matches the Rfam family "Bacterial small subunit ribosomal RNA", at positions 26 to 478 of the family's 1533-position model. The record is from RNAcentral.
AGAUUGAACGCUGGCGGCAUGCUUUACACACGCAAGUCGAACGGCAGCGCGGGGCAACCUGGCGGCGAGUGGCGAACGGGUGAGUAAUAUAUCGGAACGUACCCAAGAGUGGGGGAUAACGUAGCGAAAGUUACGCUAAUACCGCAUACGAUCUAAGGAUGAAAGCAGGGGACCGCAAGGCCUUGUGCUCCUGGAGCGGCCGAUAUCUGAUUAGCUAGUUGGUAGGUAAAGGCCUACCAAGGCUACGAUCAGUAGCUGGUCUGAGAGGACGACCAGCCGCACUGGAACUGAGACACGGUCCAGACUCCUACGGGAGGCAGCAGUGGGAAUUUGGACAAUGGGCGCAAGCCUGAUCCAGCAAUGCCGCGUGAGUGAAGAAGGCCUUCGGUUGUAAAGCUCUUUGUCAGGAAGAAACGGUGGAGCUAAUAGUCUCUCACUAAUGACGUAC